Long non-coding RNA from Danaus plexippus (monarch butterfly), 1041 nucleotides. RefSeq lists it as uncharacterized. NCBI's taxonomy places the organism in Eukaryota, Metazoa, Arthropoda, Insecta, Lepidoptera, Nymphalidae. The transcript has 3 exons. The record is from RefSeq and is a predicted model, not a curated record.
AAAACAGAACAUAAAAUAUAAUCGAGCGAUUUUCAAUUGUGGGCAAACUAUACGAUAAGGCACGUUUUUUAUUUGUUAGAAUUUAAAUCUUUCAAAUUUAGCACUAUUUCUAUAACAUGUAUAUUUAUAUACAGCCCGUGAUACUGUUUAUUGCUUAUAUCAUCUUUCAAUAUGUGAACUGCGCUGUUCCCAUUGAUAUAGAAAUAUACAAAGUGAAAGCUGAUGCAGCGAAAAAAGAGCCAAAGUUCUUUACAAUGAUUCCAGAUAAAAAGCCGUUGAUCUCUAGGCGUCAGAGUGGUGAAGUGGAAAAUUUUAGAGAGGACGAUAUGAGAGUAGAGUUAGAGACAACAACAAGCAAGAUGUGAUUGAGCAAUAAUUUUUACUUUACAUGUCUUAGCUACUAGAAAUGAAACAGUUACUAAAAUAUAUAAUAUGUCAUACAGAGAUAUGAUACGAAAGCAGUUUUAAGGACUUAAAAUAAACGUCAUGAAUUAAAACUUCUGAGAUUUUCCUCUUGAUAGUCCAAAAUUAUCUCCAGUGUGGAAUAUUUUGCGCAAAACCAGAGUUUUAUAUUUGAAUGGAGGUAAAUAUUUAAACGACAUGUUUAUUUUAUUUAGGUUCCAAUAUUUAAAUUACUGAGGCGAAACCUCUUAGCAUUCAAUGGAUUCACCGUGCGGGUGCCGGGUUCAUCGUGUUGCAGGGAGAGGAGCUUCAAGAGUGCCUGGGACUUGCGACCCAAGUGUAAGUUUAAGGAGCCUCUAACUAACGUGCGUUAAACGCUCACCUCCACUGUCCAAGCUCCUCUCCCUACCUAUUCAUAUUUGAAAAGAACCUACUAGGGCUGACAUCGAAGUACGUUCCAAGAAUGAAUUGAUGUAAGUUCUGGUCAGGGUCUAGACUUUUAGUAGGUUCUAGAGAUAUUUAGCCGUUAUACCUCUCGCUCCCACUUCUACCGCGUAUAAAUCCACGACGCACCUAUUUCGAGUGAAUAAAUAAAUAAAUUCAUAACAAUUAAAUCAAACUAAUAUAUUUCGGAUACAC